CACAGAGAGGCAGAGGGAGAAGCAGGCUCCCUGUGGGGAUCCUGAUGUGGGACUCGAUCCCAGGACCCCGGGGUCACACCUGGGCUGAAGGAAGAUGCUCAAUCGCUGAGCCACCCAGGCGUCCCUCAAAUUUGUAUGAAAAUAGGCAAAACAAUUUUGAUGAAGAAAAAGUUGAUCUUUCUCUACCUUAUUUAUUUCACUUAGACUAAUACCCUCUAGAUCCUACCAUGUGAUUUCACUUACAUGGUUAUCUAAAACAAACAAACAAACAAAAACAAAAAACAAAUGAACAAACAAACAAACAAAAGAAACAAAUGCUUAAAUACAAAGAAAAAACUGAUGGUUGCCCGAGGUGGGGAUGGUGAAGGGACGAGUGAAAUGGGUGAAGGGGAUUAAGGGGGACAAACUUCCAGUCAAACACGUCACAGAAAUGAAACGUACAGCAGAGGGAAUGCAGUCAAUAAAACUGUCAUAAUACUGCAUGGUGACAGAUGCUGCUUACAUUUAUCGUGGUGAACGCUGCAUAAUGGACAGAACUGUCUCAUCACUACAUUGUCCAUCUGAAACUAACAUUGUAGUCAACUAUACUUCAAUACUAAAAAUUUUUAAAAGAGAAAUAAAAUUGAGAGACUGUUCCUGCAUCUAAAGCUUAAUAUUUAACUACGGUCAUCAUUUACCUGAAUUUCUAGUAUAAAGCUAAGAUCAAUUCAUGAUGAAAAAUUUAGAAGAUGGUUCAGUGGUUGCUUGGAUUGGGGAAGGAAUUGAUGAGUUAAGUAUCCCAGGAAACUUUCUCUGGUGAUGUAAAUAUGUUCUAUCUUAUAAGGGGUACAGAUUCCACCAGCGUAUGCAUUUUUGAAACUCAUCAAUUUGUAUACUCCUCUAAAUUCCACUCUGUGUGAAUGUUUCCUUAGAGAUCUGUAAACAACGGUGAAUUCCAGGCUUGUGUAUUUGCUCUUUAGUGGGCUACGGAUUAGCCCACUAAUUCUGAAACGACUCCGUGUUCAAAGCUUGCAUAAAUGAGAAAAUGAAUUGAAGUAUAAUGGAAGCCAGGUUUCUCACUCUUGGAGAAGUUAGUUUGAAAUAGAGAAAGGACAAGAACAUACUCUGUGGCUUUGGUUUAGAAUCAGGGGCGUCAAUAUCAGUGUGAAUUCAUGGUUUGAUAAGAGACAUAUAAAUAUGUGGGUUUAUAAAAAUAGGAUUAUAAUAAGGAUACCUAAUUUCCUAACUCUAGGCUUGUUUCUAAAUACUAUUUUCCAUUAAAAAGGAAACUAGUGGUCCUGGGACUAAUAGCUAAUUCCAGAAAAAUGGGAUAGGAAAAAUAUGAGCCUGGAAUAUCUUGCUUCAAGAAAAUAAGGAAGUACUCAAAGAAUGAUGAAAACGCAUCAAAAGGAGCCAGCUUAAAGGAGCUCUCAGUGGCUCAAUCUGGGAUGGUUCUGAGCAGUGAUCCAGGGGCUGUGGACCCUAAUGAGGCGGGUAGAGAUAGCCCCCAACUCAAAUACAUAUUAUUAUAAUUAUAUAGGAGUCCUCACCUCCUAUAUACAUAGGUUAUGGAGUCCCAGUUGACUUUGUUAUAUUACUGUCCAAUUUGUAUCUACUUAUAACCAUUUUCAAGUAGUGGCCCAAUUCCCUGAAGGGGAAUUUUUGCAUGAGCAGUAUCGCCAAACCCUUUUGGAAAAAAAGCAGUGGAUUGUGUGGAAGAGCUUAGAAGAACUAAGACAGCUUCAUUGGUGGUGAGAAAGUGGGCGGUUGCUCCAAGAAUAGCACCCAGACUGGAAGCCAUGAAUGAAGAAACACCAAACAACUGUUUUUUACAGAAUGAAAGGGAAAACUAUGUAGGUGGGAGGAGAGCAGCAAUGUAAAGGCAAUUAGUUCUAAUUCAAAGCGGAAAAGAGAGGAAAGCAAUUACGGUCAAUCGUAAAGCGAGAAAGCAGAGCGCACGCGUCCGAACCACAAAGUACUCCUAUGACAUUAAACCACAUCCCGCAUUGCUCCCCCAAAUCAUUCAGUACUCAUUGCAUCCUUGUUCCCUUCUCCACCUGGUCACCCCCACCUAUCUGCCUAAUCUUAGUCAACAAAUAUAUAACAAUAAGAUACCUGGAAAGAUUUUUUUUCUUUACAGGGGUUAUAGCUAUCAUCCAGGCUCUGCAGUUCUCCUCUAGCUCUUCCUCUUGAUCUAGAGUUUCAAGAGAGGGAGGACAAGACAUGGAUCCAGCCAACUACCCUCUCUUCGAAAUCUCUGCUCAGAGCCACAGACCUUAGUCUCCAGCUCCCCCUUUACUAAUCACUCCGCGACGCUCCUGGGAAGUCAUAGUGAAUUACUGUUUAUAAAAAAUAUUCAUGAAUGAGCUAAAAAAAAAAAAAAAAACUAUUCUCGUACAAGGUAUCCUAAAUACUCUUUCUAAAAAAUAUUAUUUUAGAUGAUUCUCUAUCAUUUUAUUCUUGAAAGUCUAAAAAGCAACUUAAAGUUAAAUUGUAUUUCUAUGUUACGAGGCAACCGCUAUAAUGAAGUAGAGAGUGCUGAAUAACAAAAGGCAGAACCAAGUACAAUUAUUCAUCACAGGAAGAAAAAGGCAUAUGAAAUAAACUAAAAACAAUUCGACUGUUCUUUUCUGGCCCAUUUGUCAUUUCUGUGGUUGUCUAGCACCUGUAACUCCUUCCUAUGUUUAGA
RNAcentral lists this long non-coding RNA (2668 nucleotides) under Canis lupus familiaris (dog). Its description in RNAcentral is "lncRNA (ENSCAFG00845010205.1)". The record is from RNAcentral. Lineage: Eukaryota; Metazoa; Chordata; Mammalia; Carnivora; Canidae.